Molecule: ribosomal RNA, 502 nt
Filed under: uncultured Rikenellaceae bacterium
Lineage: Bacteria; Pseudomonadati; Bacteroidota; Bacteroidia; Bacteroidales; Rikenellaceae
Description: bacterial SSU rRNA
Rfam family: Bacterial small subunit ribosomal RNA
Source: RNAcentral
CGCCUUGCCAGCCGCUCAGAAACUUAAAGGAAUUGACGGGGCCCGCACAAGCGAGGAACAUGUGGUUUAAUUCGAUGAUACGCGAGGAACCUUACCUGGGCUAGAACGCAAUCGGAAUCAGGCCGAAAGGUCUGCGCCAGCGAUGGCCGCUUGCGAGGUGCUGCAUGGUUGUCGUCAGCUCGUGCCGUGAGGUGUCGGGUUAAGUCCCAUAACGAGCGCAACCCCUACUGCUAGUUGCCAGCGGGUCAUGCCGGGGACUCUAGCGGAACUGCCAGCGUAAGCUGCGAGGAAGGUGGGGAUGACGCCAAAUCAGCACGGCCCUUACGUCCAGGGCUACACACGUGUUACAAUGGCCAGUACAGAGGGCAGCCACCCCGCGAGGGGGCGCUAAUCCUAAAAGCUGGUCCCAGUUCGGAUCGGAGUCUGCAACCCGACUCCGUGAAGCUGGAUUCGCUAGUAAUCGCGCAUCAGCCACGGCGCGGUGAAUACGUUCCCGGGCCUU